This 492-nucleotide ribosomal RNA is filed under the name uncultured bacterium. Its description in RNAcentral is "partial 16S ribosomal RNA". It matches the Rfam family "Bacterial small subunit ribosomal RNA", at positions 29 to 507 of the family's 1533-position model. The record is from RNAcentral.
AGUGAACGCUGGCGGUAGGCCUAACACAUGCAAGUCGAACGGCAGCACAGUAAGAGCUUGCUCUUACGGGUGGCGAGUGGCGGACGGGUGAGGAAUACAUCGGAAUCUACUUUUUCGGGGGGGAUAACGUAGGGAAACUUACGCUAAUACCGCAUACGACCUACGGGUGAAAGCAGGGGAUCUUCGGACCUUGCGCGAUUGAAUGAGCCGAUGUCGGAUUAGCUAGUUGGCGGGGUAAAGGCCCACCAAGGCGACGAUCCGUAGCUGGUCUGAGAGGAUGGUCAGCCACACUGGAACUGAGACACGGUCCAGACUCCUACGGGAGGCAGCAGUGGGGAAUAUUGGACAAUGGGCGCGAGCCUGAUCCAGCCAUCCCGCGUGGGUGGAGAAGGCCUUCGGGUUGUAAAGCCCUUUUGUUGGGAAAGAACAGCAGCAGGUUAAUACCCCGCUGUUCUGACGGUACCCAAAGAAUAAGCACCGGCUAACUUCGUG